Non-coding RNA from Desulfitobacterium hafniense Y51, 171 nucleotides. The record is from Rfam. NCBI's taxonomy places the organism in Bacteria, Bacillati, Bacillota, Clostridia, Eubacteriales, Desulfitobacteriaceae.
UCCAUCGUGAGAUGGAAUCUGAAGGAAGCCAGCGGCAAAGUUCCGGCCUGAGGGACACAAACAGCAUCAGGCGCGAAACGUGGGGUGAGACUGCGCGACAAGUCGAAGCCCAAAAGCUACACGGACACGUCAGCGUAAAUGGUGCGGGUAGAUGGAAUGAAAGUGAAUCAU